Molecule: ribosomal RNA, 116 nt
Filed under: uncultured bacterium
Lineage: Bacteria
Description: partial 16S ribosomal RNA
Rfam family: Bacterial small subunit ribosomal RNA
Source: RNAcentral
CACACCGCCCGUCACACCAUGGGGGUUGAUUGCUCCAGAAAUGACUUGUCUAACCGCAAGGAGGACGGUCCUUAAGGAGUGCUCAAUGACUGGGGUGAAGUCGUAACAAGGUACCC